RNAcentral lists this unclassified non-coding RNA (508 nucleotides) under Hevea brasiliensis (rubber tree). Lineage: Eukaryota; Viridiplantae; Streptophyta; Magnoliopsida; Malpighiales; Euphorbiaceae. The record is from RNAcentral.
GAAUCCACUACAGGUCGUUUUCUUCUUGGGAGAUCUAGAGAGCACGGAGUUGUCGGUGAUAUGAGAGAUGUUUGGCCAAAUGCUCGUGUGAGAAAGAACGUAUCCCUUAUACGGACGUAUCAUGGAUUCAAAGGUACCAAACAAGGUCCACUCGAGUUCUUCAAGUUAAUAUUCCGAGCACUUUGCUUGUGCUGGGAUCGCCAAACUCAGGAUCUACAUGUUGACUGGAUCCUUUUCAGAGGCAGAUCUCUCAUACCCGUCUCGUGUGAGGUGGUAAGCGACAACAUUGAUGGCUUUUAUCCUUCUUCUCAUUAUCCUGUAUACGCCGAGUUCAUGCUUCCUCGUUCAGUAAGGCUAACCGAAGCAUCCCCUGAAAACGAAACCUAAACUAUACUUGUUGAACUUUUCGCCAUUUCGCUCUUGUGCAUUGUUAUUUAUUGAUUGAUUUUUUUUUCUUUUUGUUGCUGGUAUAUGGCUCAAAGAUCUUGUUUCUGUGAAUUCAUUGAGA